UCCGGGUGCAGUGGCGCAUUCCUGUAGUCCCAGCUACUCAGGAGGCUGAGGUGGGAGGAUUGCUUGAGCCCAGGAGUUCUGGGCUGUAGUGUGAUAUGCUGAUUGGGUGUCUGCACCAAGUUCGGCAUCAAUAUAGUGACCUCCCGGCAGCGGGGGACCACCAGGUUGCCUAAGGAGGGGUGAACCGGCCCAGGGAGGAAACAGAGCAGGUAAAAACUCCCGUGUUGAUCAGUAAUGGCAUUGCGCCUGUGAAUAGCCACUGUACUCCAGCCUGGACAACAUAGCAAGACCCCAUCUCUA
This 300-nucleotide signal recognition particle RNA is filed under the name Callithrix jacchus (white-tufted-ear marmoset). RNAcentral describes it as "Metazoan signal recognition particle RNA (ENSCJAG00000078036.1)". It matches the Rfam family "Metazoan signal recognition particle RNA". Rfam says of the family: The signal recognition particle (SRP) is a universally conserved ribonucleoprotein. The record is from Rfam by way of RNAcentral. Lineage: Eukaryota; Metazoa; Chordata; Mammalia; Primates; Cebidae.